GUGAAGAUCACAUGGCCUGGCUGG
RNAcentral lists this non-coding RNA (24 nucleotides) under Cricetulus griseus (Chinese hamster). The record is from RNAcentral. Lineage: Eukaryota; Metazoa; Chordata; Mammalia; Rodentia; Cricetidae.